RNAcentral lists this ribosomal RNA (253 nucleotides) under uncultured bacterium. RNAcentral describes it as "partial 16S ribosomal RNA". It matches the Rfam family "Bacterial small subunit ribosomal RNA", at positions 524 to 776 of the family's 1533-position model. The record is from RNAcentral.
UGCAGAGGUCUCAAGCGUUGUUCGGAUUCAUUGGGCGUAAAGGGUGCGUAGGCGGCGCGGUAAGUCGGAUGUGAAAUCUCGGAGCUUAACUUCGAAACUGCAUUCGAUACUGCCGUGCUUGAGGACUGGAGAGGAGACUGGAAUUUACGGUGUAGCGGUGAAAUGCGUAGAUAUCGUAAGGAAGACCAGUGGCGAAGGCGGGUCUCUGGACAGUUCCUGACGCUGAGGCACGAAGGUCAGGGGAGCAAACGGG